This 953-nucleotide long non-coding RNA is filed under the name Androctonus crassicauda. The record is from RNAcentral. Lineage: Eukaryota; Metazoa; Arthropoda; Arachnida; Scorpiones; Buthidae.
UAUCAAACGUAUUUCAAGACUCCAAAUGAGCACUCUUUGGCAGUAAUCCAAUGGUUAAACAGCUUUUAUUUUGUACAAACGCUUUUGGUGCUGACACCCGCCAUCAUCAGGUUUACUCUUAUGUUGUGAACUCACCUGCAGCAUUCAUUGAGAAUCUCAAAAGCUGUACUCUUACAAAUGAAGAUAAUUUUAUAAUUAUGGACUUCCACAAACUUUAUCCAUCUAUUAACUAUAGCUUCAGCAUGCCUCACACUUUACCAUUUCUUUUUAGAACAUUUAGAUAGUAAAUACAGCCGCAACUAAUUAGAACUAUACAUCAUACCAUAGUCUACAAGUUGUACUACUACUUUGAAGAGAACACUAGAGACAGUUGACUGAUGUCCAAUUGGUGGGCCUAUGGCCAAAAUGAUGGCUGAGUUGAUUAUAUGAUGCAAAGAAAACACAGCCAUCCAAGAAUUUAUAACAAAUGCCUGUUGUGUAGAUGACAUUUUCUUAAUUAUAAACCUAACAUAAUCACAAAAGUUUUUUUGGAUAGCUUCUUAGGACUGAUUUUAUACCUGGACCAACACUCAAAAUCUGAAAUAUAUUUCCUUGAAUAAUGUGCUAAAUGUCACUGUAUACCAUAAACUGACUUAUGUGCUGACAAUGACCCCAUCAUUGUUGGACGAUCUUUAUAGAUAUAAAUUAGCAGCAAUAAAAAUGCUUCUCUGACAUAAAUACACAUUGAACAACACAGGAAACUAAAAACAAUGAACAUAAUUAUCAACUAUGCAGUCACUAAUAAUUACACUCCAUCUAUGAUAAUGAGGCUGUACAGAAUCAUAUAGAUCAUAAACAAGAUACAGGCAGAAUACUAAUAGAACUACUCUUAACUAAACCAACAAGAAUACAAAUAGAAUAUGACUCCUCAUUACAUAUAAAAUCAAAACUUAAAGAGAAGCUAAAUAUAGAAC